AGGAUGAACGCUGGCGGCGUGCUUAACACAUGCAAGUCGAACGGUGAAGCAGGAGCUUGCUCUUGUGGAUCAGUGGCGAACGGGUGAGUAACACGUGAGUAACCUGCCCUUGACUCUGGGAUAAGCACUGGAAACGGUGUCUAAUACCGGAUACGACCUCCGAAGGCAUCUUCUGGAGGUGGAAAGAAUUUCGGUCAAGGAUGGACUCGCGGCCUAUCAGCUAGUUGGUGAGGUAAUGGCCCACCAAGGCGACGACGGGUAGCCGGCCUGAGAGGGUGACCGGCCACACUGGGACUGAGACACGGCCCAGACUCCUACGGGAGGCAGCAGUGGGGAAUAUUGCACAAUGGGCGCAAGCCUGAUGCAGCAACGCCGCGUGAGGGACGACGGCCUUCGGGUUGUAAACCUCUUUAGUAGGGAAGAAGCGAAAGUGACGGUACCUGCAGAAAAGCACCGGCUAACUACGUGCCAGCAGCCGCGGU
Molecule: ribosomal RNA, 482 nt
Filed under: uncultured bacterium
Lineage: Bacteria
Description: SSU rRNA
Rfam family: Bacterial small subunit ribosomal RNA
Source: RNAcentral